CCUCAGUGUCCACCUGGUUUCUGAAUUCUGAUAACGCUAUUGUGAUCAUAAAAAGAGAAAGAGUUAUAAGAAUAUGUUCUGGCGGGGCAUGGGGAUAUGGGGUGCCUCAGUGGGCCCAUGUGGAGGCAUCUCUUCCCCCGAGGGACCAGACACAUGAUGGGUCCGUGGAGCCAUCUGAUGAUAAGUCAGAAGAAUAUAGGUCCACAAACACACACCGGCAUAUUGAUUGGGGCAACUUUUCUGCAAGCCUGGAGUUGGUUCAAACUUAAAAGCUUAUAAAUGAAGACCAUUGUUGCAAGAGUGAAGUCCCGAUGGCCCGUGAGCCUCAUACCCGACCUUUGAUGGGUCUCCUUAGUAGAUACCUGCCAACCCAUAUCAGAGUGUGAUGCUUUUGAACAACAGUAGAGUGUGUGUCUCUGCUGUAUCAGCUUUGUAAAUGUGAAAUUCUUACAAGCCAUCAGCUCAGUUUGAAUUCAGCUCUUCUUCAUCUGCAGAGUCAAGAGUCUAUGAGUUUUAGCCUCUAUCCUUCACAUCGUGACUGACAAAAGAAAUUGCUCAUCUGAAUCCCUAGCAGAGAGGGAAAUGGACCCGUUAGGGCCCUUCCAUACCGCUCCUCAGUCACGUUUUUACAUAGCACACAGCCAUGUAAACAUGUCUACAGCUAUGUUCAGAACAUGCAUGCUGUACUCUAUGACACUGAAAACAAGCAACUUCUGCAGAUCGCUAUGAAUUGCAGUGCUACACACUAUGUUAGCCCCAAUAUCUGGCAUAAUAACAAAUAGCUUUUUCUUACUUAUCAGGCAUUAAACAGACUUUUGUGUGGCUUAUUUUUUGUCCCUUCAAUAAUUCUAUAAGCUCAAGGCAGAUAAGUUAACACACAUUCACUGCAUAUGUCUGGCUCCAGAAGACGAUCAGGGGAUGUCCUGAAGCCCAGGAAGGUGACCACAUAUGUAGUCACAGCAAUGUCCAUUGCUUCCAUUCCUUCUAUUUACAUAUCUCUAUUUAAUUUAUUUGGUUGACAUUCUUGCUACACACCUGUAGGAUGAAAGAAAGCAUAGAGAAGGAAAAAAAGAAGGAAGUAGAUGGAGAGAAGGCUCAGAGGUUAAGAGUACUAGAACAUACUGCUCUUGUAGAGGACUCAAAUCGGGUUCCUCCAUCCACAUAUAACUGACUAUAUAACUCUAGUUCCAGGGAGAUCCAACACCUCUGGCCUCCAUGGGUACCUGCACUUACAUGAACACACACACACACACACACACACACA
Molecule: long non-coding RNA, 1264 nt
Organism: Mastomys coucha (southern multimammate mouse)
Lineage: Eukaryota; Metazoa; Chordata; Mammalia; Rodentia; Muridae
Exons: 3
Source: RefSeq, a predicted model, not a curated record